AGCUGAAUGGCGCAGCGGAAGCGCGCCGGGCUCAUACUGAUGUCACAUCACGUGACUAUCACGUGACCCGGAGGCCCUCUGAUCGAAACAGAGUUCAGCUA
This is a non-coding RNA of Neohortaea acidophila, 101 nucleotides long. The record is from the annotation of a RefSeq genome assembly. Lineage: Eukaryota; Fungi; Ascomycota; Dothideomycetes; Mycosphaerellales; Teratosphaeriaceae.